AUUUGUACUGUGAACUGCGAAUGGCUCAUUAAAUCAGUUAUCGUUUAUUUGAUAGUACCUUACUACAUGGAUACCUGUGGUAAUUCUAGAGCUAAUACAUGCUAAGAACCUCGACUUCGGAAGGGGUGUAUUUAUUAGAUAAAAAACCAACGCCCUUCGGGGCUCCUUGGUGAAUCAUAAUAACUAAGCGAAUCGCAUGGCCUUGCGCCGGCGAUGGUUCAUUCAAAUUUCUGCCCUAUCAACUUUCGAUGGUAAGAUAGUGGCUUACCAUGGUGGCAACGGGUAACGGGGAAUUAGGGUUCGAUUCCGGAGAGGGAGCCUGAGAAACGGCUACCACAUCCAAGGAAGGCAGCAGGCGCGCAAAUUACCCAAUCCCGACACGGGGAGGUAGUGACAAUAAAUACUGAUACGGGGCUCUUUUGGGUCUCGUAAUUGGAAUGAGUACAAUCUAAAUCCCUUAACGAGGAACAAUUGGAGGGCAAGUCUGGUGCCAGCAGCCGCGGUAAUUCCAGCUCCAAUAGCGUAUAUUAAAGUUGUUGCAGUUAAAAAGCUCGUAGUUGAACCUUGGGUCUGGCUGACCGGUCCGCCUCACCGCGAGUACUGGGUUCGGCUGGGCCUUUCCUUCUGGGGAACCUCAUGGCCUUCACUGGCUGUGGGGGGAACCAGGACUUUUACUGUGAAAAAAUUAGAGUGUUCAAAGCAGGCCUUUGCUCGAAUACAUUAGCA
RNAcentral lists this ribosomal RNA (726 nucleotides) under Aspergillus penicillioides. RNAcentral's name for it is "SSU rRNA". It matches the Rfam family "Eukaryotic small subunit ribosomal RNA", at positions 72 to 809 of the family's 1831-position model. Lineage: Eukaryota; Fungi; Ascomycota; Eurotiomycetes; Eurotiales; Aspergillaceae. The record is from RNAcentral.